CCGGAUAGCAGGCGGGAGGGUAACCUGCAGGAGGAUAUCCACCAGGUGGAGGAUAUGCAGGUGGCGGGUAUGCGCCUGGAGGAGGAGGAUAGCCUGCGGGUGGGUAUCCACCAUGUGGAGGAUAGCCGGAAGGCGGGUAACCUUGUGGUGGAUAUCCAUAUCCUUGAGGUGGAUAUGCCCCAUAGCCUACGUGGUGAUGGCCCCCGGCAUAUCCAGCAAGAUGAGAAAACAGUCCUUUGUCAUCACUUCCAUGCCUGUCCCCCAUUUUUCUUUUCAAUUCAAUUAUCAGAGCCUGGAACGCAACAAGCACAACAAGGAUGUAAAUAUUCAGAAUAGAUAAAUCAGCUAGGUAAAAUGGAGAACCAUAGUUUU
RNAcentral lists this long non-coding RNA (372 nucleotides) under Nicotiana tabacum (common tobacco). RNAcentral's name for it is "long non-coding RNA (NTAB_LNC005227)". Lineage: Eukaryota; Viridiplantae; Streptophyta; Magnoliopsida; Solanales; Solanaceae. The record is from RNAcentral.